Molecule: long non-coding RNA, 717 nt
Organism: Herpailurus yagouaroundi (jaguarundi)
Lineage: Eukaryota; Metazoa; Chordata; Mammalia; Carnivora; Felidae
Exons: 3
Source: RefSeq, a predicted model, not a curated record
CCACGUCCGACGGUCACCCACUGCCACGCUGUCGGUAGGAAGCGCACACCCGCACGCGCCGACGCAGAAGCACAACCUCUCAGGCACACACACAGCCGGCCAGUCGGUCCCACGUGCGACCGAUGCAUACUGAGCAGCCAGUAAGGACCAUCGCUAUUCCAGAUGGGACAUUGCAAUGAAGAGGAGAGGCACGGCCUGCCUCCAUGGAGCUGAUGUUAUUUUAGGGAGGCAGAUGGUAAUCAAAGAAACAAGAACUGUUUCUGAGGAGUUAGCAUCCCAGCUGAGGCCUGAAUAAAGGGAAGGACUCAGAAUUUUCCAGGAAGGCGACCACAGAGCAUAUUCAAGGACCUGCUGCAAUCCAUCCCGAGGAUAAUAAUGGAGGUCGUCAGAAAAGAGAUCUCAUGAGGGUCUGUGUUCACACACUUUGGCGCUCCUGAGGCCUACUCAGGGAACCGGAACAGAGGUCCUACUGAGGACAUAGGGCAACAUUUGCUUUUCUGGGAAAAAGAAUUUAAGCAAUGGUCAGUCCCCAGCAUGGAAAAUCCUAGUGUGGGGAGAGGUUAUGGAGGCAGUGAAUCUGUGAGGAGUGUCAGGAUACCUUCGAGCCCUGUCAAACAAAAGAAUGUUGCUGUGGAGAAGACACCACACAUGUUAGUCACACAUGGAGGAAGCUUUGAGCAGGUUCCAGAGCCAGAUGUGUUGUAGGCAACCUGUGUG